CAGGGAAACUCUGAGACAGCAGCAUGCUGCCACCAAACCUGUUGAUAGUGUCGAUGGUCGUCUUUCUUGCAACAACUGUUUCUACGGCUCCUGUGGAGGAGAAGGAGCCAGAGGAGGUGGAGGUGGAGGCCAC
Long non-coding RNA from Xiphias gladius (swordfish), 133 nucleotides. RefSeq lists it as uncharacterized. The record is from RefSeq and is a predicted model, not a curated record. NCBI's taxonomy places the organism in Eukaryota, Metazoa, Chordata, Actinopteri, Istiophoriformes, Xiphiidae. The transcript has 3 exons.